This 99-nucleotide small nuclear RNA is filed under the name Cavia porcellus (domestic guinea pig). Lineage: Eukaryota; Metazoa; Chordata; Mammalia; Rodentia; Caviidae. The record is from RNAcentral.
GUCGGCAGCACAUAUUCUAAAACUGGAAAGAUACAGAGAAGAUUAGCACGGCCACUGUGCAAGGAUGACACGCAAAUCUGUGAAGCAUUCCAUAUUUUU